RNAcentral lists this long non-coding RNA (824 nucleotides) under Monodelphis domestica (gray short-tailed opossum). RNAcentral describes it as "lncRNA (ENSMODG00000048398.1)". Lineage: Eukaryota; Metazoa; Chordata; Mammalia; Didelphimorphia; Didelphidae. The record is from RNAcentral.
AAGGGGAGGGGCAGAGUGGUCGUCCCACCCUGAAUCAGGUCCUCUUUGGAAAGAGAUUUGGGACCCACAGUCCUACCCCUAGCCCAAGCUAGGGAACCAAUACGCCCCUCGCCGCCUCUCGGACAAAAUGUCAAGUACAAGUUCAAGUCCAAGUUCAGGGCCGUGCCCCGGGGGGCGCAACUCUUUCCCGUCACCGCCUUUUGUUCUUCCUCUGACAAUCGCUCUUUAUUCCUCCUCUGGGGCUGGGCCCGGCUUCUAGCUGCUGCGGGCAAACUCUCCCUGCCCCACUGAGGCCAACCGUGAGACGUUCUUGCAGUUUAGACUCCUCCUCAGUCGCAAGGGAACGAAGGCUUUGGGGGACUAGUAGUAGCUAUCAGAAGCCCUUGGGAGAGUUUUACUCUCCUUCCCUUUUCUCCUCCCAGUUCAAUUUGGGACAAACUUUCCGUUCCAUCUUCGAGCUCCUUUCAACACACUCGGCCGCUUGGGUUCGUUUUCAGCUUCAUUAUUCAAAGGAACUUUAUCGAUCUUUCCUUUGUCCGUCAUUUCUUCUCCUGAGGGACCCAGUGGGUAUGGAACACGAUAGAGUUUGUCUCCUGGAAUUGAGGACGAGGCACUAGUAACCUCCAAGUCGACAGAUAUUUAUUGCUGCCUACUGCCUGCCAGGCACUGUGCUAAUCUAUGGGGAUAAAGAGAAAGGCAAAAACAGUCCCUGCCCUUAAGGAGCUCACAAUCUACUGAGGGAGACAGCAGACAAACAAUUAUGAACAGACGAGAAACGAGACGAAUUGGAGAUAGUCUGAGCGGGAAAGCACAACAUUAUGGAG